AUGGGUGGCGGCUUCGGAGGCGGUGGUGGUGCAGGCAGUGGUUUUGGAGGCGGCCUCGGAGCUGGCAGUGGUAUAGGUGGCGGUUUUGGAGGUGGAGGUGGCUUUGGAGCCGGCGGAGGUGCAGGAGGCGGCUUUGGAAGUGGUGGUGGUGCGGGUGCAGGCAUGGGAGCUGGUGUCGGAGGUGGCAUCGGUGCUGGCAGUGGUAGCGGUAUUGGUGGAGGUAGUGGAUUGGGCAAGGGCGUUGGUGCUGGAGGCGGCAUCGGAGCUGGCAGUGGCAGCGGUAUUGGUGUAGGUAGUGGAUUGGGCAAGGGUGUUGGUGCUGGAGGAGGGAUUGAAGUCGGCGGAGGUGCUGGAACCGGCAAGGGCCUUGGCACUAGAGGCGGUCUUGGAGCUGGCAGUGGCACUAGUGGAGAUGGUAGAAUGGGCCACAAUGUUGGUGCUAAAGUUGGUGGCGGCGAGAGAAAACGUGGCGGAAAACACCACGAUGGAAGCAAUAAUGGCAGGAAAAACAAGCAAGGGUGUUUAAACUGA
This 531-nucleotide ribosomal RNA is filed under the name Triticum aestivum (bread wheat). RNAcentral describes it as "partial small subunit ribosomal RNA". The record is from RNAcentral. Lineage: Eukaryota; Viridiplantae; Streptophyta; Magnoliopsida; Poales; Poaceae.